CGAAAAAUUUCAUACAUAGCACGUUGUAUUUUCCUUUCUUGUGUGCAUUUCUGUAGUCGAAGUCACAUAUCAGAUCACACACAGUUUAAAUACAAACCUAAAAGUAGGAAGACGUGCGCGGAAUAAAUGAAAAAAAAGCAAAUAAAGUGGUUUAAAAAAAAAAAACAACAGACGCUGAAAAAAUAGUGGAAGGCAUCAACAGGCUAAAGAUUGACAUCGAUAUCAACGGAUAUCAUAGCAAACAAAUAGGGAUGUUUUUGACAAGGAACCAAAGUGUUUAGGAGAAGCGGUUUGUUUCAACUUUUGGAAGAGUGGAUAGACGACGAGAAAGAAUAAGAUUCCAAAAAUGCCGUCCUUAUGCACACCAUAUGUACUUAACAAGACACGAUCAAAGACUACCAGGAACUUUUCUUCUUUACUUCUAAAACCCCUCCAUAGGUGGACGACCAGCUGAUGGGUUCCAUGCUCAAAUUCU
This is a long non-coding RNA of Episyrphus balteatus (marmalade hoverfly), 475 nucleotides long. RefSeq lists it as uncharacterized. The transcript is spliced from 3 exons. The record is from RefSeq and is a predicted model, not a curated record. Lineage: Eukaryota; Metazoa; Arthropoda; Insecta; Diptera; Syrphidae.